RNAcentral lists this ribosomal RNA (528 nucleotides) under uncultured bacterium. RNAcentral's name for it is "bacterial SSU rRNA". It matches the Rfam family "Bacterial small subunit ribosomal RNA", at positions 377 to 896 of the family's 1533-position model. The record is from RNAcentral.
GGGAACCUGAGCCAGCGACGCCGCGUGAGGGAAGAAGGCCCUUGGGUCGUAAACCUCUUUUGCCAGGGAAGAAGGGGGGUCCCUGUGACAGGGGGCUCUCUUGACGGUACCUGGCGAAUAAGCCCCGGCUAACUACGUGCCAGCAGCCGCGGUAAUACGUAGGGGGCGAGCGUUGUCCGGAUUUACUGGGCGUAAAGAGCGCGUAGGCGGUCUGAAGAGUCGGCUGUGAAAUCUCUGGGCCCAACCCAGAGGGGUCGGCCGAGACCUUUGGACUCGAGGGUGGUAGAGGAAGGUGGAAUUCCGGGUGUAGUGGUGAAAUGCGUAGAGAUCCGGAGGAACACCAGUGGCGAAGGCGGCCUUCUGGGCCACACCUGACGCUGAGGCGCGAAAGCGUGGGGAGCGAACCGAAUUAGAUACUCGGGUAGUCCACGCCCUAAACGAUGGACGCUAGGUGUCGGGGGUAUCGACCCCCCGGUGCCCGAGCGAACGCAGUAAGCGUCCCGCCUGGGGAGUACGGCCGCAAGGCUA